UGAGAGAUGUCCAGUUUGUAGCUGAACAUGCGGCAUAGAGAACACCAUCAAGGGGACCCUCAGCAUCAUGCAGAUAUGCCCUCGCUGUGAACAUUUCUAUAAAUGGAACAGGGAGGACUCUUCAGUAUCUAUGAUGAGGGGCCAGGAGCUGAUCUAUACUGCCAUGCACAUUAAUGGGGCGCUGGCAAAAACCUUACCUCCAGCUUCACCUCUUGCCUGAUCACCAAUGGUUGUCGAUGGGGAGACCAGAAUUAGCGCUCUAGGUCGCCAUGCUCCCACACCUCAGCCAGAUUGACAGGUUCCCGCGCCUUAGCAGAGGUGACCGGUCCGCUCCUGAUCCCCGGGAUCGUCAUUUUUAUUCGGCAUGUCGGGAAGGGGGUACUGUCAUGUGUGCUCCCUCUCCGGCUUCUAGGUCACCAGGCUGCUGUCACCAUCGUCAGGUGCACCUGCGCGUCAGACUCACCUGGACUCCAUCACCUCCCUGAUUUCCUUGGUUCCUUCCCGAGGCGGUGUUUCAUGUCUGUGUGCUGUUAGUGUUUCUUGUUUUGUAUUAUGUUCUGUUUAUUGAAACACUCACUCCCUGAACUAGCUUCCCAACUCUCAGCGCACAUUGUUACACAUACAACCUUCCCACAAUGUUCUGGGAAUGAUGCAGAAAAGUUGUUUGGCUUUGGAAAAUUCUCAGCACAUUUAAGGAACUUGAUAAAUGUUAUUUUCUUGGUAUGUCAUUACUCUAACAGAAUGUUUCCUAAAAGGUCAAGCAUGGUUACAUUUAAUUUAGGUUUUGAGAAUGUUCUAGGAACCUUCUGACUGGUUUGACAUUGGGAAUGUUCUCAGAUGGAAGCAUGAAACCUGCAGAAAACAAUUUAUAGUUCAAUUGUUUACACACGUUUGCUGAAUCUUUGGCCCAUUUUCCCCAAAACUCUAGCAAAAGCAAACACUGCAUUCAAAACUUCUUUCCCAAAUGUUUUUUUUUUUGUAUCAAAAUGACGCGUCAUAUGAAUAGAUCUGUCUACCAACAACACACUGAUGUGCUCAACACAAAACACUAUAAAUAUCCCAACAAACACAAUACCGUAACAAACAUUUAUUUCCAAAAUGCAGUAUUUUUGAACACUUGUGUUUUGUAUGUAACACUUUCAUACCCAACAGGAGAAACAUUGAGUAAGAUGAAGGGUUUUCUGUACAAUAUAUAUAUAUUUUUUUAAGUGGCUCAUUCUUUCAAAACUCUAAACAGAAAAAGACAAACACAUGCGAAAUGUAAUUAAAGACAUUAGGCAGCAUCCUGCCUCUAUUUUGGUCUGACCACAGC
Molecule: long non-coding RNA, 1312 nt
Organism: Salmo salar (Atlantic salmon)
Lineage: Eukaryota; Metazoa; Chordata; Actinopteri; Salmoniformes; Salmonidae
Source: RefSeq, a predicted model, not a curated record